This 176-nucleotide ribosomal RNA is filed under the name Lactobacillus delbrueckii subsp. bulgaricus. Its description in RNAcentral is "partial 23S ribosomal RNA". It matches the Rfam family "Bacterial large subunit ribosomal RNA", at positions 1 to 177 of the family's 2925-position model. The record is from RNAcentral. Lineage: Bacteria; Bacillati; Bacillota; Bacilli; Lactobacillales; Lactobacillaceae.
AGGUCAAGUGAAGAAGGGCGCACGGUGAAUGCCUUGGCACUGGAAGCCGAUGAAGGACGCGACUAACCGCGAAAGUCUUCGGGGAGCCGUAAGUAGGCUUUGAUCCGGAGGUCUCCGAAUGGGGGAACCCAGCAUGUGCAGACAUGCUAUCCUUAAGUGAAUACAUAGCUUAAGGA